This 7643-nucleotide long non-coding RNA is filed under the name Solanum tuberosum (potato). RNAcentral's name for it is "long non-coding RNA (STUB_LNC004963)". The record is from RNAcentral. Lineage: Eukaryota; Viridiplantae; Streptophyta; Magnoliopsida; Solanales; Solanaceae.
GGGUCAUACUUUUUAGAUGAUCAUGUAAGUUAAGCUAGUGGAUCCACUAAGUUAAGUAAGGUCCUAUAUCAAGGCAAGGUAUAGGAUGGUCCUUGGGCAACGUGUGGUAAAACGUUGUAUCAUCACUAGGGCUCAUAGUGGUGGUUGUCGGUUAAAGAAUCUCCCACUAAAGUUAUAUUACUUUUAUAUAUAAGUAAAGUUGAGUUUGUUAUUGCUUAUCUUUAACGAACUAAGUUGUUUACACUGUUUUACAAGCUUUAUAUAUAUAUUGCGUGUGUCUUAUUACUUUAUAUUGAGUUCAGUUAUUCAUGAGUUAAACAGAGCCAAAGUAAGUGUUCCUUUAUCCUCCUUUCAAGCUUAAGCUGUGAUUUAACAUUCCAAUUCGCAUACUCGUACAUUCAAUGUAUUGAUGCCAGUUGGCCUGCAUCUUAUUAUGAUGCAGACGCAGGUAACCAGGAUCAGCAUCCAACGCGCCAUUGAUCCCGUUGAGCACUCCAGAGUCAGUGGUGAGCCUCCUUGCAUUCCGAAAGACUCUUUUUAUUUCGCUUUCUUAGUUUUCUUUAUUAGGAUGUUGUGGGGUCUGUCCCAACAUCCAUCUCAGUAUUAUAGAGGCUUCAUGGACAGUCAAACAGUUAGUUUUGAGUCUCGCAUCUAUGUAUUUGCAGAUACUUUGUUUUGAGACAUAAGUUGCCAUUUUGGCUAAGAUGUUAUCAUUUAAACUAUUACUUGAGUUUAUGUUGUUGAGUUAAGUCUUCCGCUGAGUUAAGUAAGCUAGGCCAAGGGUUCGCUUGGGGCCAACAAUGGUCUUCGAGUGUCGGCCACGUCUAGGGUGUAGGCUCGGGGCGUGACAUAGUCAACAAAUCAAUAGUGAAAAAAUCCAACUUCGAAGAUGGAUUGAGUGGAGAAGAGACUAGGGGUAAAUGAUCACAAUUGAACUCAUUUAAAGCUCCAGAGUAAACUUUCUUUGACUUACUAUUAUUCCUGUUGGCUCCCGGAGGAUUUCAAGUCCCUGAAAAUAAUGUAAAUCUCCCAAAUCUUUGAGCUUAAAUUCUGAAUGCAAGAACUCUUUUAGCUGCACUAGUUCUGCUUCAUUGUUUCCUGUUAGAAUAAUAUCAUCUGCAUAGACAGCUAGAAUGGAGAUAUUAGUUCCUGAUAUCUUGAAGAAAAAUGAGUAGUCAUUGAGUGAUGAGCAAAAACCUUUGGAAUUUAAAGCUUCUGCCAAUUUUGAGUACCAUUGCCUUGAUGCUUGUCUAAGUCCAUAUAAAGACUUCUUGAGUUUGCAAACAUGUUGGGAACUAGGUGAUUGCAUUCCUAUUGGAAACUUCAUGAAAACUUCCUCAUCAAUUUCUCCAUGUAAAAAUGCAUUAUUGACAUCUAGUUGUGAAAUAUUCCAUCCUUGCUUCACUGCUAUAGUCAAUAAGCACCUAAUAGUUGUCAUUUUGACAACCGGUGAAUAAGUCUCACUAAAAUCAAUACCUUCCUUCUGAAUAGCUCCUCUAAUCACCAAUCUUGCUUUCAGCCUCUCUAUACUUCCAUCAGAAUUAUGCUUGAUUUUGUAAACCUAUUUACAUGGUAAUGCUUUCCUUCCUUUUGGUAAUUCCACGACUUCCCAAGUUUGAUUCUCAAGGAGUGCUCUAAUUUCAUCUUCCAUAGCCAAGUUCCAUCCCGGAUGUAACGCUGCCUGGGCAUAAGAAGUUGGUUCUGUGAUGUUUGAAAUAGAGUUCAAGACUUGUUGAUUUGUUGUGGAUAGGCUAGCAAAAGAAUAGCUUUUAGGGAUAAUAGGCCGACUGAAACAAGUAUUGGUUAGAUCUGUCAAAAGAACUGCAUUGCAGACAUACUCUUCUAAGUAGGCUGGUUUCUUGUGUAUUCUUUCUGACUUUCUUUGCGUGACUGUGGAAGGUGAAAUAUCUUGCGUCUCAUGCAAGGUCACAGAGUCAAGUCCUUCUGAGUUCCUUGUAUCAACAUGAUGUGAUUUAAUUUCUGUUUCCAAAUGUGAUGUAUGAGGCACCUCAUUCAUACUUUCAGGUUCAUGUUUUGAGGUAAAAAAGGAUCUGGUUCAAUGUUUGGCAGAAAGUCAGUUUGUGAGAUAGAAUGAUCAGUGGUAAAUAUAUGAGUCGGGAAUGAGGUUUGUGAACUUGAGAUGGUGGAAAAAGGGUAAAUAUUUUCAUGAAACUUGACAUUCCUGGAAACUAUUAUCUUUCUAGUAUCCAAAACAAGCAAUCUAUAUCCCUUUUUUCCAUGAGGAUAGCCUAUGAAGACACAUGGAAUGACUCUAGGCUCAAACUGUCCCCUAUUGUGCGCCACAAUACUAGCAUAGCAUAGACAACCAAAGCUCCUAAGAUAGGAGUAAUUAGGAGGACUUCCUAAUAGAACCUCAUAGGGAGUUCUGUUUUUAAGGACUUUAGAGGGAUAUCGAUUUAUAAGGUAUGUAGCCAUUAGGACACACUCUCUCCAAUAUGAAAUAGGCAAUUUAGAUUGAUGAAGUAGUGCCCUCGAUACCUCGAGAAGAUGCUUGUGUUUUCUCUCCACAACACCAUUUUGUUGUGGAGUAUGAACAUAAGUGGUUUGAUGAACAAUACCUUGUGAAGCAAAAAAUUCAGCUGACAGGUUGCUUCCACCCAAUUCCAAUGCAUUGUUGGACCUGAUUAUCUUAACUUUGACGUUGAAUUGUCUUUCAACCAUCACUAGAAAAUACUUUAAGACAGUGAAAGCAUUACUUUUUGUUUUUAGAAGAUGAGUCCAAGUUGCUCUACUAUAGUCAUCCACUAUAGUUAAAAAAUAUUUGUAUCCAUCAUGAGAAAGAGUUUUGUAUGGCCCCCAAGUGUAAAUAUGGAUUAAUUCAAAGAUCUUCUUAGAACUGAUAUUACUAGAUUGAAAAGGUAACUUGGAUUGUCUAGCUAAGGGACAUAUAUUGCAAUUAGCAUUAAAAUGAAAAGGAGAAACAAGAACUGAACAAAUAUUCUUCAUUGAUUGAAAUGGCAUAUGCCCCAAUCUAAGGUGCCACUGCCUUACAUCAAAAGCAUUCUUUAUAGGAAUUGAAAAAGUGCUUGAAACAGAAAGACAUCUAGAUUUUUCUUGAUUGCACAAAUUAACUGAUGUGCUGACGAAACUCUUAAGGUACUAGAAACUUGACUUUAGGAGAUAUAGCCCUGCUCUUGCUUUACCAAAUGCUAGAGGCCUCUUCAUUGAAGGGCCCUGCAGAAAACAACCAAAAGAGGAAAAAAUGAGUAAGCAACUUAACUAUUUACACAACUUGUAGACUGAAAUGAGGUUAUAUUUGAAACAUGGAACAAAUAAGACAUCUUUCAAAAUGAGUUUAGUAUGUAAAGGGACACUUCCAACUUGAGUAACCUUGACCCUAUGAGAAUUAGGAUGAUCAACAAAUACAAGAGUCUUAAGAGUAUUGAGUUCUAAGAAGAUCUUUGAAUCAAAACACAUAUGUUGAGUAGCACCUGAAUCCAAUAUUCAGGUUCUUUGAUUGAAAUCAAUAACUUUAUGAGGUGUUUUAUUGAAAACCUUACCAGCACAAGUCACUGCAUUGGCUGAGCAUCACCACUUGAACCUUCUGAUUGAUUCAUCCUCACAUUUUGAAGCAUAUGAAUCAGUUGUGAAUAUUGAUCCUGGGUGAAAUGUUGUCCCUGUCCUUCUCCAUUAAAAUGUGCUCCACUUUGUCCUUGUGUUCCUUCUAUGUAAGCAACAUUGCUUUUCACAUUUCCCUGGAACCUCUUCGUCUUGGUAAACUUGAAAUCACUUGGAAAACCUAUUAUCUUAUAGCAUUUAUCCACAAAAUGCCUAGGUUUCUUAGAGUGAGAACAAAUAAUAGUGGUUUUGUUUCCCUUAGACUCAUAAUAUCCAGAUCUUUGACCAAGAGUGUUCUGAUUUGUGGCCUAGAAAGAAGCAGAGUUUCCUGGAUAAUGUGUGCUCAUAUACACCUCCCUUUGCUUUUAAUCUUGCAUUAUGAGUGAGUAAGCAUGAUUCACAGAGGGUAAAGAUGAGAGCAUCAACAUGCUACUCUUUCCAGCAACAUAGACAUCAUUCAACCCCAUAAGAAAUUGGAUCAAUCUCUCAUCUUGAAUAGACUUAGCCAUUUUUCCUUUCCCACCACAUUGGCAGUCACAUAAGCAAUUGACAGAACUGUUCAAAGCAUCAAGCUCGUCCCAGAGACUUUUGAUCUUUGUGAAAUAGCCAGCAAUGUCAUUUGAACCUGCACCAAGUCACUCAACUCCUUUUGCAGGUGAUAGAGUUGUGCUCCAUUGGACUGGCCAAAUCUAUCCUCAAGUUCUUUCCAUAGAUCCUUGGCUGUCUUGGAGUAGAUAACACUGUCAGCUAUCUCUUUUGAAAGAGAGUUGAGCAGCCAUGACAGAACCAUAUCAUUGCAUCUGUUCCAUAGCUUGAAAUCUGGUGAUAUCGAAGUUGGUUCUUUGUGAGUACCAUCAAUGAACCCAACCUUAUUCUUAGCUGAAAAAGCUAUUAAGAUUGAUCUCCUCCAUCCACCAUAACCUUUCCCAUUAAAGGGUGAGUUAACAAGAUUCAUUCCUGGAGAAUCUGAAGCAUGAAGAUAGAAAAGAUGAUUGUGAUCAGUUCCAGAGUUGGUGGUACUUCCAGUGCCUGUAGAGCUACCAGAAGUGGGAUCUGUUGUUGUCACCAUUGUUGAACUGAGAAAUGGAGAGUAGGGAUGAAGAAAAGGGAAGAAAAGGCAAUAAAGAGAUCAGAUUCUCAAGGUUGCUCUGAUACCAUGUAGAAAAUCAGAGACUAAGAAUGGGAAAAUUUUUCUUGCUUUCUAUUCAUUCAACUGUGAUGUAUAUAUAUAGAAUACCUAAAGAGAAGAAAACAAAAGUAUUCCUAUACAUGUAUGGAAUUUGAUUGACUAUCACUACAAUCCAAUUUUGGACAGCUAUGUAUGUACUAUUUUGUACAGAAUUUGAAUAAAUCUGUCAAGGGAAUUUGGAUUAUUUGUUGCCUCAUUUCUGCUUCCACUUGGCCCUUUCCUGUUUGUCCAAAUUAGCCUCCAAAUCAGCUCUUCUAAAUGAGCUUGGAUGGUCAGGAUUAAAACUUAUAUUGCUUGAUCCAAAGGUUGUGAAACUUCCAUCUCUUGGGCCACUUGAAGUGUAGACUAUCUGAGAAUCGAACAAUUGAUUGUGUUUAUCUCUGAUUUUCAUUUGAUUGUGAAGCUUCAUUGCAGCAAGAGCUUGAUUAGUUAUCUCUUCUUCCAUGGUUGUUUGUUGAUCUGUAUCAACUUUGCCAUUUUCAAUUCCAACAGAAAAGGGUGCCAACUGUAACUGGAUCGAAAAGAGAGUGGACUGAGCAUCUUUCCAAUUUCAAAGAUCUAUCAGAGCCCAUUUGAAAUGAAGACCCCUGCUCUGACCCCAACUUAUUUGGGACUUAGGAGUAGUUGUAGUAUUAUUGGAGGUCGUUGAUCCCUAAUGUGGGUGCAACAAUACAUUAUUAUAUGAGGAAGGUCAUCUAAUAUGAUCCACCAUAUAAUAAUAAGUGGACAUUCAGAUGCACAAAUCCAUAGAUUCAAUAGAAUGAUGUUGUUGAUUAGAAGGAACAAGUUAGACCAUAUAUCACACAAAAUGCUGGAAAUAUAAAAAAAAUCUCCUGUAGCCAAUGCGGACUUUACUGGGAAUAUACAACAAUGGAUGCAAAAGAAUUCAUACACGUAAUACUGACUAGUUCGGACUAAAAUUUAGUUUUGGUUUUUACACUUACCAUUACUUCUGUUUUUUAGUCAAUUUUCCUUGUAUUAGUUAAAGAUUUGUAUGUCUGUGUUCCAAAAUUGGAAUAAAAGUUAGAUUUAGAAAAUGAACUAGGUUUAGACAACUCCAAGAUUGGAUUGUUAGGACUUCUCAUAACCAAAUUGAAAAGUAAAAGCCAUGAAUAUGGUAAAUUUUCAAAUAAAGUAGUAUUAAAAUUUUGUAUGAUAUGCUUUACAAUUGUGUACUCGUCAAUGUCCGCUUCUCUAAAAACUAUUUUGAGCUAGCAUUUACAAAAAUAAUGUUGGCCUUGACUCAACAAACAAGAAGCUGUCGUUUUCCACUUUCUUGGUGCAAAGAAGAAGUUGAACAGCAGCAUGAAGGAAUCGAGAGGAGCACUGCUCUGAAGAUCUCCAGCAGCUACACCUUUCUUGAUUAGUGAAAUGAUGUAGCUCAUGAAGACUGAAUCACAGGGUAAUGUAAUAGGGCCACCUCUUGGCAACCCAAACUCUUCUUCGGACAUGCUUAAAAGUUGCCUAGUGACCUCAUUUUCAAGGUAAGACAAUGGAACGACAAAGCGAACUUGAUCAGCUGUAUAGACUACAAAAUGGCCUUUCUCAAUUAUAGAGGAUGAAGAUGUACUGCAACUGUCUGCAUCACUUGCAUUUCUUGGAAAUGAAAUCCUCUUCCUCUGCAUAGCGGCAAACUUCUGCCAUUUCCUGGCCAUCUUGAUGAGUUUUUUAGCGCUGAGCAUUGCCAUUUUUUUUUUGUUGGAAGAUUGAAAAUAAAAAAGUAGAGAAGAAAUUUAGAGAGCUUUGAUGGUUGAACUGAUAAUGCUUGUCCUUGAUGAUGAAAAGGCUCAUGAAAGAGAGAUUAUUUAUACAAAAUGGAGCUGAAGUUCUUGUCACUAACCACCGAAGGCAAAACCAUGUGCCUAUGUUUGUUGUCCAAGUUAGUAUGGGACCAAAAAUUUGUGGAUUGAAGCUAGUUUGAAAAUAUAAGAUGAUAAGUUUCUUCCUUUCUUCACUUUGAUCAACAACCAACUAGGCCUAUAAGCUAUAAUAUCAGCUCAUAAGUCAUAGUUGGCACUUCUGACUAUGCUGCCAAUAAUUUGAAAGCAUUAAAUGAACAAUUGCUGGUGAGAAACAAAACCAUGUUCUUCUUCCUUCAUUUUCAUAGAGAUAGGGGACACUUGACUAUCAAGUUGGCUAGUUGUGCUUAGAAAAACCAUUUCAUGUUGUUAUUCUGUUUUGGCCUCUUUCAUCCUAUCUUUAAACCAGGUGGUCCAGGAAAAGUCAUUUUCUUUAUCUAUUCUUGUGCAUUUUUUCUAACAGUGUCCUUUAUAUACACACACACACAUACUAGUCUCUAGACUUGCAACAAACUUUAACUUGGUUAUUUCUAUAAUCCUUCAUUCUUUCUUCAGGUCUUCAAAUGUCGUUGUCUUUCGCCUUUGCAGCCUUAAUGCGGAUACUUCAGCAAAGUCUGAUGCCUGCUGGAUAUGUUGAUAUGGGGCCUUAUAUGUGUGGAUGAAUCUUGUUCAAAAGGAUGUAACAUGAUGACUGUCAUUCUUUCUUCAUUUGGUAGACGACUGAAUAGACCUAUUUAUUAUGUCACCAAAUAACAUUGAGGACAACUUCUCACAUAUAAUAAUAGUCUGAGACCUUUGAAUGAAGAAUUGAUAUCUUAGUGGUGGAUUAAUUUUAUCGAACCAUAUGGUGCUGUAGGCUAUUUCAUGUAAGUAAUGGAUCCCUACACAGUUGUGGAGCAUGGAUUUUCAAUAAAAAGGGUAAAAAUAUAAAGAAGACAAAUUGGGAGACUAGGCAUGUAGUUUUGAUGAUUGACAAAAGUGAACUCGUUGUUACUUGUGUUGCAUGUUGUGAAAUCAGGUACCCUGAGACAGGAAUGCAAAUGUACAAAUUCGGAAGAUUGACAAAUAAGGAAAGC